This 464-nucleotide unclassified non-coding RNA is filed under the name Bartonella sp. Its description in RNAcentral is "partial 16S-23S ribosomal RNA intergenic spacer". The stretch from base 128 to 201 matches the Rfam family "tRNA". The record is from RNAcentral. Lineage: Bacteria; Pseudomonadati; Pseudomonadota; Alphaproteobacteria; Hyphomicrobiales; Bartonellaceae.
ACCCAAGCCUUCUGGCGAUCUCUUAUAAAUUAAGCUCUCCCGUAGUUUUUAAAGAAAAGGGAGGAGAGGGAAGAAACUUCCCGCCUAAUAUGAUAAGUCCGGGGAAGGUUUUCCGGUUUAUCCCGGAGGGCUUGUAGCUCAGUUGGUUAGAGCGCGCGCUUGAUAAGCGUGAGGUCGGAGGUUCAAGUCCUCCCAGGCCCACCAAUUUAUGUAUCAAUUUAUAAGCGCUUACGAGUUUUCUUAUAUCAGGUUUACGUAUAAACUUAUAAGGAAGUCACUUCAUUCAAGAAGCUUGCUUGCAAAAAUGUUGCGCUUCUCACUUUUGCUUAAGUGAUCCAAAGUUAAAGCAAUGCAAACUAAAGUGAUCGCACUUUAAGGGCGAUCCUCCAUUUAAAAUUUUUGAUCCUUUUUCCUUUUUUGGGGCCGUAGCUCAGCUGGGAGAGCACCUGCUUUGCAAGCAGGGG